This 910-nucleotide ribosomal RNA is filed under the name Dactylospora stygia. Its description in RNAcentral is "SSU rRNA". It matches the Rfam family "Eukaryotic small subunit ribosomal RNA", at positions 214 to 1070 of the family's 1831-position model. Lineage: Eukaryota; Fungi; Ascomycota; Eurotiomycetes; Sclerococcales; Dactylosporaceae. The record is from RNAcentral.
AUUAAAAACCAAUGCCCUUCGGGGCUCUUUGGUGAAUCAUAAUAACUUAACGAAUCGCAUGGCCUUGCGCCGGCGAUGGUUCAUUCAAACUUCUGCCCUAUCAACUUUCGAUUGUAAGGUAGAGGCUUACAAUGGUGUCGACGGGUAACGGGGAAUUAGGGUUCGAUUCCGGAGAGGGAGCCUGAGAAACGGGUAAGUUACACUCUAUCUUUUCCCCCUAUCAUAAAUCAUAUCUUUACUAACAGUUUAUAGCUACCACAUCCAAGGAAGGCAGCAGGCGCGCAAAUUACCCAAUGCCAAUACGGCGAGGUAGUGACCAUACAUACUGAUACAGAGCUCUUUUGGGUUUUGUAAUUGGAAUGAGUACAAUCUAAAUCCCUUAACGAGGAACAAUUGGAGGGCAAGUCUGGUGCCAGCAGCCGCGGUAAUUCCAGCUCCAAUAGCGUAUAUUAAAGUUGUUGUGGUUAAAAAGCUCGUAGUUGAACCUUGGGCUUGGCUGGCCGGUCCGCCUCACCGCGUGUACUGGUCCGGCCGAGCCUUUCUUUCUGGGGAAUCUCAUGCCCUUCACUGGGUGUGCAGGGGAACCAGGACUUUUACUUUGAAAAAAUUAGAGUGUUCAAAGCAGGCCUAUGCUCGGAUACAUUAGCAUGGAAUAAUGGAAUAGGACGGCAGUUCUAUUUUGUUGGUUUCUAGGACCGCCGUAAUGAUUAAUAGGGAUAGUCGGGGGCAUCAGUAUUGAAUUGUCAGAGGUGAAAUUCUUGGAUUUAUUCAAGACUAACUACUGCGAAAGCAUUUGCCAAGGAUGUUUUCAUUAAUCAGUGAACGAAAGUUAGGGGAUCGAAGACGAUCAGAUACCGUCGUAGUCUUAACCAUAAACUAUGCCAACUAGGGAUCGGAUGGUGUUUCAUUU